This 455-nucleotide ribosomal RNA is filed under the name uncultured Methylobacterium sp. RNAcentral's name for it is "partial 16S ribosomal RNA". Lineage: Bacteria; Pseudomonadati; Pseudomonadota; Alphaproteobacteria; Hyphomicrobiales; Methylobacteriaceae. The record is from RNAcentral.
CACGAAGUUAGCCGGGGCUUAUUCCUCCGGUACCGUCAUUAUCGUCCCGGAUAAAAGAGCUUUACAACCCUAAGGCCUUCAUCACUCACGCGGCAUGGCUGGAUCAGGCUUGCGCCCAUUGUCCAAUAUUCCCCACUGCUGCCCCCCGUAGGAGUCUGGGCCGUGUCUCAGUCCCAGUGUGGCUGAUCAUCCUCUCAGACCAGCUACUGAUCGUCGCCUUGGUAGGCCCGUUACCCCACCAACUAGCUAAUCAGACGCGGGCCGAUCUUCCGGCAGUAAACCUUUCCCCAAAAGGGCGUAUCCGGUAUUAGCCCUAGUUUCCCAGGGUUAUUCCGAACCGGAAGGCACGUUCCCACGCGUUACUCACCCGUCCGCCGCUGACCCCGAAAGGUCCCGCUCGACUUGCAUGUGUUAAGCCUGCCGCCAGCGUUCGCUCUGAGCCAGGAUCAAACUCU